Molecule: ribosomal RNA, 406 nt
Filed under: uncultured bacterium
Lineage: Bacteria
Description: partial 16S ribosomal RNA
Rfam family: Bacterial small subunit ribosomal RNA
Source: RNAcentral
GACGAACGCUGGCGGCAGGCCUAACACAUGCAAGUCGAACGAGGGGCGGACGGGUGAGUAAUGUCUGGGAAACUGCCUGAUGGAGGGGGAUAACUCCUGGAAACGGUAGCUAAUACCGCAUACCAUCAGAUGUGCCCAGAUGGGAUUAGCUUUUGGGUGGGGUAAAGGCUCACCAAGGCGUCGAUCCCUCGCUGGUCUGCGAGGAUGACCAGCAACAUUGGAACGGUGACACGGUCCAUACUCCUACGGGAGUCAGCAGUGGGUAAUAUUGCACAAUGGGCGCAAGCCUGAUGCAGCCAUGCAGCGUGUAUGAAGAAGGCCUUCGGGUUGUAAAGUACUUUCUGCGGGGAGGCGUUACCCGCAGAAGAAGCACCGGCUAACUCCGUGCCAGCAGCCGCGGUAAUUC